This 491-nucleotide ribosomal RNA is filed under the name uncultured bacterium. RNAcentral's name for it is "partial 16S ribosomal RNA". It matches the Rfam family "Bacterial small subunit ribosomal RNA", at positions 29 to 507 of the family's 1533-position model. The record is from RNAcentral.
GUGAACGCUGGCGGUAGGCCUAACACAUGCAAGUCGAACAGCAGCACAGUAAGAGCUUGCUCUUACGGGUGGCGAGUGGCGGACGGGUGAGGAAUACAUCGGAAUCUACUUUUUCGUGGGGGAUAACGUAGGGAAACUUACGCUAAUACCGCAUACGACCUACGGGUGAAAGCAGGGGAUCUUCGGACCUUGCGCGAUUGAAUGAGCCGAUGUCGGAUUAGCUAGUUGGCGGGGUAAAGGCCCACCAAGGCGACGAUCCGUAGCUGGUCUGAGAGGAUGAUCAGCCACACUGGAACUGAGACACGGUCCAGACUCCUAAGGGAGGCAGCAGUGGGGAAUAUUGGACAAUGGGCGCAAGCCUGAUCCAGCCAUACCGCGUGGGUGAAGAAGGCCUUCGGGUUGUAAAGCCCUUUUGUUGGGAAAGAAAAGCAGCAGGUUAAUACCCCGCUGUUCUGACGGUACCCAAAGAAUAAGCACCGGCUAACUUCGUG